Molecule: ribosomal RNA, 623 nt
Filed under: uncultured beta proteobacterium
Lineage: Bacteria; Pseudomonadati; Pseudomonadota; Betaproteobacteria
Description: bacterial SSU rRNA
Rfam family: Bacterial small subunit ribosomal RNA
Source: RNAcentral
AAGCACCGGCUAACUACGUGCCAGCAGCCGCGGUAAUACGUAGGGUGCGAGCGUUAAUCGGAAUUACUGGGCGUAAAGGGUGCGCAGGCGGUCUUGCAAGUCGGAUGUGAAAGCCCCGGGCUUGACCUGGGAAUUGCGUUUGAAACUACAAGGCUAGAGUGCACCAGAGGGGAGUGGAAUUCCAUGUGUAGCAGUGAAAUGCGUACAGAUGUGGAAAAACACCGAUGGCGAAGGCAGCUCCCUGCGUCGACACUGACGCUCAUGCACUAUACCGUGGGGAGCAAACAGGAUUAGAUACCCUGCUAGUCCACGCCCUAAACGAUGUCCACUAGUUGUCGGAUCUAAUUAANGAUUGAAACUACAAAGGAAUUGGACGGGGACCCGCACAAGCGGUGGAUUACGCGGAUUAAUUGGAUGCAACGCGANAAACCUUACAUACCCUUGACAUGCUUGGAAUCUACUGGAGACAUAAGAGUACCCGAAAGGGAGCCAAGACACAGGUGCUGCAUGGCUGUCGUCAGCUCGUGUCGUGAGAUGUUGGGUUAAGUCCCGCAACGAGCGCAACCCUCGUCACUAAUUGCUAUCAUUUUUAAUGAGCACUUUAGUGAGACUGCCGGUGACAA